Molecule: long non-coding RNA, 1747 nt
Organism: Puntigrus tetrazona (Sumatra barb)
Lineage: Eukaryota; Metazoa; Chordata; Actinopteri; Cypriniformes; Cyprinidae
Exons: 3
Source: RefSeq, a predicted model, not a curated record
UGAGAUACACAGCCCCUGUAUGCAUCAGCAAACAUCUGGAACGCAGCCACAUCUGAAUGAACAUCUUAUUAAAUGACUCUCCGGGACACAUUCAAACAGCUAAACUGUGAGUCCCAAUAAAGGCCUUUUGCUUUUGAAGACUGAAGGGCUUCUGCUGUAGAUGCGAGGACCAGGGUUGGAAAACAUGGCCUUGUGGCAACUUUUUUGACAUUCGUGUCAAAGCAAUUCAAAGGGACCAACAUUCCAGGAUUGAGAAACUCCUGUGUGAUAAGAUAUUGUAUCUUUUUCUCCUAGAAAUGCCAACACGGUAUUCCUGCGGUUUUGUUUGAACUCAGCUGACUGCAAAAGUUGUUAGUUAUAUUUGAUCAGGGUGUGUAUUGCCUGAUUUCAUCGCUUGAACAGUUACAGAAAUAUGUGCUCAGUUAAAUGCAUGCGUCAGUGGGAUGAAGUAAAACGCCGCAUCAUAUCUUACAUUGGAUUAACACCGCGAGCGAAGUGGAUGAAGCUCAUGAAAAGGUGAAUGGAUGCUGGUGUGUAAUACCGUAGAACUAGUUCACACAACAUGCGGCAAAAGAGGUUUGUAGGAUUGUCAUAUAUGGGAGAAAUAUGGGUUCAGGGUUGUAAACGUUUGUAAUAAUCUCAGGUCAGAGUCACCCGGGAGUGAGUCACAUCAUCUUAGGCAGGGUUUUCCAAGCCUCGGGGCGUUUUCUUCACAUGGAUUGACUAACAGUUUCUAAAGACAAAAACUGGUCAUUUUCUGGUCAGACAGCAGGGGUUUAAAUCUAUUAUUUGUUUAGUAAAUGAUUCUUACAUGCACGUAAGUUACAGUGUUAAAUAGCUGGGCUUGCCAAAAACGAUAGGAUUAUUUAAGGGGUCCAAAUGACGUUACUAAUUACUACUAAGUUGCUAAAUCUUUCAUUUUAGGCUAUUUAAGUUAGUUAAUUUUUUUAAUGAAAUAGUAGAAAACUGAUUAUAUAAAAAGCAUGUUAUACGUCAUACUUUUUAUGAUUAUAUAAUUGCUGGACAAACCAAAAUUAGCACACUAUUUUAAGGGUUUUAUGAAUCUAAUGAAGAGGGUUUGUGAUUGUAAUGCCUUGAGAAAAAUCUCAAUCAAAUCUCGAGAAACCAAACCAAUUAAAAAGACACGUCGCUGAGUUGCGACGAUCAUUCACACCCAUGACAAUCCACUUCUAUAAACAAACACGCACAAAAAAGUGGGGCAGAAGUAAUUUUAUCCGGGCACAGAAUAUGAAUAAAAAUUUGCUGCUCCACUUCCUUUUCUGACUCGUCCCAGUUCCGUGUUUGUUUUGUGCUUUAUAGCAAACUGGUUUUAGCGUGUGUGCUGCGAGCUGCUCGUUUUUGAAGUGAAACUGCCCAAGCACACAUGAUUUUAUUCCCUGUGAAUUUUUUCAGCUAAAUGCCAAACAAGCAGGCUUCAGUAAUGAGAGACACAUGUUCAGGCCUGCAGUGCAUUGGCAGGACGCAGGGAGAAAAGCACAGACUUAGAUUGGUUCCUCCCUUGUUUGUGUUUUUAGCGCACAUUCUUUAAAAUGACAAUCGGGGAACAAUUUAUGGGCUAAAGACUUUCCAUUUUUAUGCAAUCCAAACUAGUAGUAUUGAAUAAUUACAAUAUAUUUAUAUGUCAUGGCACUCGUGUGAUACUCCAGGGUACUCAAAUAUACUGUCCACAAGAUACACUAUUGCUUUUUAGUAACAUGCUAUGGUUUUUAUCGAUAUUAAAAAUGUA